CCCUUAGAUGUUCUGGGCUGCACGCGCGCUACACUGAUGCAUUCAACGAGUGUAUUUCCUUGCCUGGAAGGGUUGGGUAAUCUCUUUAAAUUGCAUCGUGAUGGGGAUAGACUCUUGCAAUUAUUAGUCUUCAACGAGGAAUUCCUAGUAAACACGAGUCAACAUCUCGUAUUGAUUACGUCCCUGCCCUUUGUACACACCGCCCGUCGCACCUACCGAUUGAAUGGUCCGGUGAAAUCUCGGGACGGCGGCUUGGUCGCUUGCGUCCGACUGCUGAAACUUGAUUAAACCAUAUCAUUUAGAGGAAGGUGAAGUCGUAACA
Molecule: ribosomal RNA, 322 nt
Filed under: uncultured eukaryote
Lineage: Eukaryota
Description: partial 18S ribosomal RNA
Rfam family: Eukaryotic small subunit ribosomal RNA
Source: RNAcentral